AGAGUUUGUCCUGGCUCAGAUUGAACGCUGGCGGCAGGCCUAACACAUGCAAGUCGAGCGGUAGCACAGAGAGCUUGCUCUCGGGUGACGAGCGGCGGACGGGUGAGUAAUGUCUGGGAAACUGCCUGAUGGAGGGGGAUAACUACUGGAAACGGUAGCUAAUACCGCAUAAUGUCGCAAGACCAAAGUGGGGGACCUUCGGGCCUCAUGCCAUCAGAUGUGCCCAGAUGGGAUUAGCUAGUAGGUGGGGUAACGGCUCACCUAGGCGACGAUCCCUAGCUGGUCUGAGAGGAUGACCAGCCACACUGGAACUGAGACACGGUCCAGACUCCUACGGGAGGCAGCAGUGGGGAAUAUUGCACAAUGGGCGCAAGCCUGAUGCAGCCAUGCUGCGUGUGUGAAGAAGGCCUUCGGGUUGUAAAGCACUUUCAGCGGGGAGGAAGGCGUUAAGGUUAAUAACCUUGGCGAUUGACGUUACCCGCAGAAGAAGCACCGGCUAACUCCGUGCCAGCAGCCGCGGUAAUACGGAGGGUGCAAGCGUUAAUCGGAAUUACUGGGCGUAAAGCGCACGCAGGCGGUCUGUCAAGUCGGAUGUGAAAUCCCCGGGCUCAACCUGGGAACUGCAUUCGAAACUGGCAGGCUAGAGUCUUGUAGAGGGGGGUAGAAUUCCAGGUGUAGCGGUGAAAUGCGUAGAGAUCUGGAGGAAUACCGGUGGCGAAGGCGGCCCCCUGGACAAAGACUGACGCUCAGGUGCGAAAGCGUGGGGAGCAAACAGGAUUAGAUACCCUGGUAGUCCACGCCGUAAACGAUGUCGAUUUGGAGGUUGUGCCCUUGAGGCGUGGCUUCCGGAGCUAACGCGUUAAAUCGACCGCCUGGGGAGUACGACCGCAAGGUUAAAACUCAAAUGAAUUGACGGGGGCCCGCACAAGCGGUGGAGCAUGUGGUUUAAUUCGAUGCAACGCGAAGAACCUUACCUGGUCUUGACAUCCACAGAACUUUCCAGAGAUGGAUUGGUGCCUUCGGGAACUGUGAGACAGGUGCUGCAUGGCUGUCGUCAGCUCGUGUUGUGAAAUGUUGGGUUAAGUCCCGCAACGAGCGCAACCCUUAUCCUUUGUUGCCAGCGGUCCGGCCGGGAACUCAAAGGAGACUGCCAGUGAUAAACUGGAGGAAGGUGGGGAUGACGUCAAGUCAUCAUGGCCCUUACGACCAGGGCUACACACGUGCUACAAUGGCAUAUACAAAGAGAAGCGACCUCGCGAGAGCAAGCGGACCUCAUAAAGUAUGUCGUAGUCCGGAUUGGAGUCUGCAACUCGACUCCAUGAAGUCGGAAUCGCUAGUAAUCGUAGAUCAGAAUGCUACGGUGAAUACGUUCCCGGGCCUUGUACACACCGCCCGUCACACCAUGGGAGUGGGUUGCAAAAGAAGUAGGUAGCUUAACCUUCGGGAGGGCGCUUACCACUUUGUGAUUCAUGACUGGGGUGAAGUCGUAACAAGGUAACCGUA
Molecule: ribosomal RNA, 1503 nt
Filed under: Klebsiella sp. enrichment culture clone SRC_DSA22
Lineage: Bacteria; Pseudomonadati; Pseudomonadota; Gammaproteobacteria; Enterobacterales; Enterobacteriaceae
Also listed under: 1 other name
Description: bacterial SSU rRNA
Rfam family: Bacterial small subunit ribosomal RNA
Source: RNAcentral